RNAcentral lists this long non-coding RNA (15896 nucleotides) under Glycine max (soybean). RNAcentral describes it as "long non-coding RNA (GMAX_LNC000598)". The stretch from base 1369 to 1485 matches the Rfam family "MIR1520 microRNA precursor family". Lineage: Eukaryota; Viridiplantae; Streptophyta; Magnoliopsida; Fabales; Fabaceae. The record is from RNAcentral.
AAAAGGGUAACUGAAGCAACAAAGCCUCAACCCAAGAGACCCCGUGCUAAUGGUGUGGGAUAUGGCCCGCGUGUCACUAACAUUCUAUCUGACAAAACUUCUUAUGCUAGAGUUGCUGACAGGUAUCCUCAAUACGUGUAUGACCGACCUUACAUGUACCCUGCACCAACUGACAAUCACUGCCCUCCUCUCAUGGGUUCUGCAACUUAUAACAUCUCUCCUAAUCCUGGCAACUACUUUGGAAAUGGCUAUCAGUACCAAGCUACAUAUCUCCACUAGUUAGCACAGAUGAUGGUGAACUGAUGACUAAGAAGCUACAUAUCCCUUUGUUUAAUAUUUAGUCUUAAGUCUUAACCCUUAAGCUGUUGUAUGUUGCACUUUAUCUAUGUAGUCUUUAAGAAUUGCUGAAACAGGUAAAAUGUCAUGUUAAAUUUUAACUUCUGUGCUAGAAGAUAUUCUGAUCCUCUAAUGUAUGUACUCUGUUCUCGUUUUGUAAAAUAUCUUUCUUUGUUUCUUAGAUCUGAGAUCUGUGAUUGUCAUUUUUCACUGAAUCUAACAAACUACAGUUUUAUGACUUGUUUCAUGUUUUCCUCUCCAGUAAAGUGUAUAUCAUCUAUCUACGUCACGGAGACGGGUAAAUUUUGAGAAAUCUUAGGGUGUGUUUGAUUUGCAUUUUUAUUUUCUGUUUUCAUUUUCUCAAAACUAUUUUCAUUUUCAAAAUAUUAGAAUUCUGAAAACAUGUUUGGUUUGACUUCUUGUUUUCUGUUUUCAAGAAAUAAAAACACUGAAAAUGCGUUUUCAAAAGGAAAUGUAUUUUUAGAUUUGCUUAAAAUUACAUUCUUUGUCAUCGCGUUUUCAUUUUAUCCAAAAUGAGGUUCCUAGUUUUGACUGAAAACGAGAUUUUAUUGUUUUCAGUUUUUAGUUCAUUUGGAAAAAUAUUUUCACUGAAAAUGAAAACAGAAAUCCAAUCAAACACAUUUUCAUCGUCAUUUUUUAUUUCCAGUGAAAAUGAAAACAAAAAAUAACCAAACCAAACACCCCCUUAAAUUUUGGAAAGUUCAUGAAAUCUAAUUUGAUCCAAUGCACAUUGUUUUGAAGAUUGAAGGUCUUACGUUGUAUGUUUUGUUCCAUCACUUUGGUAAUCAAAUUUCUGACUUUUAGACCAAAUUGUUGAGAUUAGUCCCUGUUUUUUUUUUGGCAAAAUUGUAUUUUUGGUUCCUCAGUUUAUCUCCAGUUUCGAAUUUGGUCCUCAAGUAAUUUAAUUCACAAAUUUGGUCUCCUUAUUUUGUAAAAUUGUGCAAUGUUGAUCCCCUAGGUCACAAUUGGACGUUAAUCGUUAACAAGUGAUGUCGACUGUCACGUGUCACGUUCUUAUUGAAUGAUGACUGCCACGUGUCAUGUUUUGAUUGAUCAAUGAAAACAAUAAUUUAUUUCUUUCAUGGAGUUGAUAUCCAAUCAGAACAUGACACGUGGCAAUCAACAUCACUUGUUAACCUCAACGUCCAAUUAUGGUCUGGAGGACCAACAUUGCACAAUUUUACAAAAUAGAAGGACCAAAUUUGUGAAUAUUAGUGGGGGACCAAAUCCAAAACUGGAGAUAAACUGAUAAAUCAAAUUUACAAUUUUGCCUUUUUUUUUAACUCGACUUUUUCUUUUUUUUCAUUUUUUGUUCACCACUAAGUUAAUCUUAUAAUUCGUUUCCCAUUGAGAUUAGUUCCUUGUUGAAAUUGAAAAAGGAAGUGAUAGUAAUAUAUUGUUUUUAACACUUAUGUGUAUUAAAUUUAUUGAAAAACUAGUCGGUAACCCGUGCAUACGCACGGGUCAUUUUGCUAAAUGAUUUUCGAUGAAAGAAUUAAAAGAAAGGUAUUGUAAAAAAAACAAAAAGACUAACAUUCAUAUAUUAUUAUCAUCAUCAUCAUCAUCAUCAUGUAGGCUUUGGGUUCCUUAAAAAAAAUACACUUUGGGACUUUAUUAUUCAACAUUGCCCUGUGAAUCCUAUUGUUGCAACCCUUGCAUGGACAAAACACAAUCAUCUUCAGUACCACCGUUGUUACGGCAGGUUGUCCCAAAAAUCAAACCACAAAAAAACAGACCAAAAAAAGUAAAAGAAUCGUAAUCAAAAUCGCAAAAAAUAGAAUGAAGAUCAGAAGAGAACUCUAUCAAAAUUAGAAAAUCCAACACACACAACACAUUCCAAUCUUCAAAGCAAACUCACUCAUUUGAUAUUGUGAUUCUCUUGCUCCAUUGUGCCCACCAAAGAUGCAACACACUUGUUGGGAAUAACAACCGUGUCCUAUUUAUUUACAAAAACAAAAUUAAAAUAUCAAAAUAACAAAAACAAAAGAUGGAUGAAAGUCGGAGAAAGAAAAGAUUAACGAAAAGAGAGAGUAUUAAGGAAGAAAAAGAGAUAAAUGGAAUAAGAGAAGAUUCGGGAUUUGAGCCAGGUUAUUAAGCGAAAUUAAAUGGGAAAUUGAAAUCCGCCAAUUAGAGAAUGACACACACCAGGAACCUUAAAGAAAAAUAUCUCAAUGUUCACUCCCGACCUUACAACAUAAAAAAGAGUCUUCAGCUAGAGCAUGCAUAAUAAUAACAACAACAACAACAACAACAACAACAAUAAAAUUAAAUAGAAUUCUAAUCCAGCUUCCUGCACCAACAAUAAAUUUUAUGAUUUAAAAUGUAAAACUGAAGUAUGAUAUAAACAGUAUAAAUAGCAGUAUACUUUUGGAGGCUCCUAUAAUUGUUAAUAAUAAUAAUAAUAAUAAUAAUAAAUCAUUUUAGGUAUGGGCACAACAGGUAUAUCUCUUUUAUUAGAUAGUUUAUUGCAAGAAGCUGGAUUAGGAUUUUAUUUAAUUUUAUUGUUGUUGUUGUUAUUAUAUUAUUAUUAUCAUUAUUAUUUUUAUUGUUAUAAUUAUUAUUAUUAUUAUUAUUAUUAUUAUUAUUAUUAUUAUUAAUUUUCAUUUUUGUUUUUGUGAUUCUGAUGGUUGGGUGAUUAUUUGUUUAAAAGGCUGCAUUAGGUUCUCCUUAGGACGAUAUCACGACUCGCGAGCUUCGAGCCUCACCUUUCUGGCAACAAAGGUGGCGAGAUUCCGACAAAGCGAUGAGAGAAAAAGUUGAAACUGCGCUUUUUAGAGAGAGAAUUUCAUUUUGGUUUUGGAGAAGGAAGAACACGCUUCUGAAGAAGGAAUAGGUAAACGAUAAUACAAAAAAUGGGUUUUCGGAGAUGGGAGGAAGCGUGUUGCACGUCCACAUCGACAUGAUUGGAGAAGCCUGGACAGAGAGACACGUGGGAGAGGCAACAGGAGAAUUAAGUGAAAUUAAAUGGAGAGUUAGAAAAUGAAACACGAAUUAAUAAGAAUGAAGAAAGAAGAGAUAAAUCCAUAGCAGAAUAGCAUGAAAUUUGAAAUUGAAGUACCUCUCAAAUAGCUUGAACCUUCCAUCAAAAUAAUAAUAAUCAUAAUAAUAAUAAACAUGCAUAAAACAAAGCACAAAGAAAGAAACUUGUCGACCGGAUAUUUUUUCGUGGAUCACCUUGCGAGCAGGAAAAUCAGAAAGGAAAAAAAAACAGGAAAUAUCAGUAAGGAAGGAAAAACAUGAAACAAACUAAAUAAUAAUAAUAAUAAUGAUAAUAAUGAUAAUAAUAAUAAUAAUAAUAAUAAUAAUAUUUCCUUUUGCUGAUUUUGCACCUCGAGUUGUACAUCCACUCAACAAAACAUCAAUUUAUUUUCUUCCCUAAUCCUUUUUAUUUAUUUUCUGAUUAGAAAACAAACUAAGAAACUAUAGGAGAAUAGAACUUACAUCAUAAUAAUAAUAAUAAUAAUAAUAAUAAUAAUAAUAAUAAUAAUAAACAUGCAUAAAACAAAGCACACAGAAAGAAACUUGAUGGUUGAAUGUAAUCAAAUGUAAUAAUGACAAAAAUAUGAUACAAUGAUUCAACAAUUAAUUACGUGUAUAUUAAUAUUUAAUGAAUUGUUAUAUAUAGUAAUCAAUUAUUAUAUGCUAAUAAAUGUAACGAAAGUCAUAAUUUUUUUAAGCUGAAUCAUCAUUUGUUAUGAUGAUUUGAUUGGAUAACAAUUAAAGUAAUUAAAAAAAUUCAAUUGAAAUAAUAUGUUUACUAUUACUAUUAGCAUCAACAUUGAAUAAAUUAAAUAAAUAUUAAUUGAUUACAUAUUAAUAAUUUAAUAAAUAAAUUAAUAAUAACAGUUAAAGUAUUAUAUAUUAACCUUAAUGAUACGAUAAUUCAAAUACAAAUUAGAAAUUUUAAAAUCUUGCAUGAUUUCAGUUUCAAUUUUAUAGACACAAUAAAGAAAAACAUGAAACAAACAACUAUAACUAAAUAAUAAUAAUAAUAAUAAUAAUAAUAUUGCCUUUUGCUGAUACAGUGCCUCCAGUUGUACAUCAACUCAACAAAGCAUCAAUUUAUUUUCUUCCCAGAUCCUUUUUAUUUAUUUUCUGAUUAGAAAACAAACUAAGAAACUAUAGAAGAACAGAACUUACAUAAUAAUAAUAAUAAUUUGUAGAGAAUGACAAGGUGGUGGAGUCUUGGGAUGCGUGUAAAUCAAAGGGGAGGGAGAAGAAAAAGGAGGAUGAAGGGGGUGCGCCUGAGGCUGGGUGUUGGGUUAGGUUGAGGUUCAUUUUGGGAGCUGCAUUUCUUCAAGAUCCAAGGUUGAUACCUCAGUCAGUGACACUGGCACCAGCACUCAUUAUGGUAAAUUCAUCACUAUUUUACUCUUAUUUCAUGCUUUUAUUUAUUUAUUUAUUUUUAUAUACUUCUAUUGGUUUUUUAAAGCAUACAUUGAAUAUUUUCCUUGUAAUUAAAGGAUCAUAUGCGUGGAAUGAUGUUAAAGUUGAAAAUAUUAAUGCUGUAUAACUACUAUUAUGAAUAAUUUUAUGACAGAAACUUGAUGUAAUGUGUAGGAUCCAAGCGCCACGAAUACAGAGAAAUUUCUAGUCUUUUUCCGAUAGUUGAUAUCCAAUUCCAAGCUCUGGAUUUAAUAGCAACUAUAAUAGAAUCUAGAUUACAUCUUCCUUGUUUGAAAAUAGUUGCAUUUCUAUUCAUUUCCAAUCAACUUGUUGGUUACUCAUGUUUAAAGAUAGAAAUAAAGAGAAGUAACCCCGCAAAGUAAAUAAUUAUGCUAUAAGAUUAUAUAGUUUUUUUAUCAGCGCUAUAAGAUUAUAUAUAAUUUGUAGUAUAAUAAAAUUUUAGUGUUAAUUUCAUUGCUAUAACAGAUUUGUAAUUCCUUUUGGGCUAUUGAAUAACUAUUCAAAGGUGUAGUAUAAGAUGCUAGCAAAAUGUGUUUCAACCAUAAAGUUAAAAUAACAAUCACAUUUCAGAUCAUGCUUCUAUUGAGAAAAUAAUCAAGAUAUUUCAAUUCUGAUCAUAAGUAUCAAAUGACAUGUUGAUGUUCAAUUAUUCCCUAAUAAGUCCCCUAGCUAGCAACAAAUAACUCCAAAAAUUAAAAUUAUAUAGCAGUUAGUUAGUUAGAAUCAACUAAGCAAAUGCCUCUUUAACAUGAUCUCAUUCUAAUUCUUCCCUCGUGAAUGGAAUAGGUGUGGUAGUCCUCUGUGGGGUCAAACCAAAGCAUGUGCCUCAUCUUACGCCCACCAGUCUCAUUCUUAUAUACAUUAGUUUGAAUCAAAUAUGACUCUCCUGUUUUGUUCCCCAAAAACUCAAAAUCAAGCUCAUCUCUUUUUGGCCCCGCACCAUUUUCUGAGCACAUCUGCAACAAUUCCCAACUCAUCACAAUGGAAUCAUAGAAACAUAGAGGGAAACUCAUUAAAAAAUAAACAAUGUAUAAGUGGAUAAAACAUAGAAGCAUUCUCAAAAAAGAAAAAGGCCCUAAAUAAUAAAUAAAUUGAAGCCAACAGUUUAUCCUUGUAUAAUAAUAAUAAUAAUAAUAAUAAUAAUAAUAAUAAUAAUAAUAAUAAUAAUAAUAAUAAUAAUAAUAAUAAUAAUAAUAAUAAUAAUAAUAAUAAUAAUAAUAAUAAUAAUAAUAAUAAUAAUAAUAAUAAUAAUAAUAAUAAUAAUAAUAAUAAUAAUAAUAAUAAUAAUAAUAAUAAUAAUAAUAAUAAUAAUAAUAAUAAUAAUAAUAAUAAUAAUAAUAAUAAUAAUAAUAAUAAUAAUAAUAAUAAUAAUAAUAAUAAUAAUAAUAAUAAUAAUAAUAAUAAUAAUAAUAAUAAUAAUAAUAAUAAUAAUAAUAAUAAUAAUAAUCAUAAUAAUAAUAAUAAUAAUAAUAAUAAUAAUAAUAAUAAUAAUAGAGAAGAUGCAUCAUGAACCUGAAAGAGGGAUUCUGCAUAAUCAUUGAUAUUGUUCAUUACUCUGUGUUUCGCUUGCACCCUUCUAAACCUUCUCGAGGUAUCGUUGCUCCCUCUCUACAAUUAAACUGUUCUCAACAACAAAACAUGUAAAAAACACUUUUCACUGCUUGGGUUACACAAAAAGUUCCCAGAUUGUAAAAAACAGAUACAAAAUAAAAAAGAAACACGGAAUUGGGGUGGUGAGACCCAUAAUUAAAAGAUACAAAAAUUGAUAUAAAUCAAGAGAAGUUGUUGAAUCAAAUGACAAAAAGAUAAAACGAAGGGAAUUGAGAGAAACUAACGGAGUUCCAAUGAUUGUGGUGUUUACGUUGCAGGGGAAUGGUGGAACGGAAGAGUGCGGCCCUGAGAAAGGAAUGGAGAUUAAUAAUAACAAUACAAUAAUUAAUCAAAACAAAAAAUAACAAAAAUUAAGAAAGAGUACAAAUAAAACAUGUGUUUGUUCUAAACUUCAUUUUUUUUGCCCCACUGAACAAAGCAACAAUUAAUUUUCUACUCUUGCUUUAAAAAAAUUGAGAUUUUAAGGGUAAAAGUGUUGAAUCUCAAGUACCCGUAAAUCUAUUUCAGUUUUUUUUUGCUUUUUGCAAAAUAUUGAAACUUUAGGGGUAAAAAUGUUGAAUCUCAAGUACCUAUGAAGAUUGAAAGUUACAAACCUUUGUUGAUGUGCAAGAAUGAGUCAAUGUCUGGAUACUUCCUCGCGAGUGACGUUGCAAAACCAUGGAGCAGCAAAAACUACUUUAACUUAGAGCAACAAAACCAACAAAAUAACAAUGAAAAGAGCAUUCAAUAGCAAAAGAACAUUCAAUAGGCAAACAUGCAUAACAACAAAGCAAAAAAAAAAAAAAAAACUUUGCCUGCUGGAUGCUUCUUCAUCACCACGUUGCACAACCACCAAGCUGAAGAAAACUGAAGAAAGAAGAGAUGGGUUUUCUCAAUAGGAAAAGAACAUUCAAUAGGCAAGAUCAGUGUUACUAACAACAGGAAACAAACAUGCAUAACAACAAAGCAAAAAAAAAACCUUUCCUACUGGAUCCUUCUUGUGAGGAAAUUCGGAGAUGCAUUCCGUCUCCAUGAUUUAGAGAACCAUAGAAACUAACAGAUGCAUCAAAGAAAACAUAAAAAAUCGUCACUUCAACCUUGCGAGGCAAAAAAACAUGUUACCUGAAGCAAACAUAACCAAUGUACACAAAUUUCAUCAAAUCUACAACCUGAAAAAAUAAAAAUGCAAGAAAAAGAAGAAGAAAAAAUAUCACAUAUGAGAUUUUAGGAUAAAAAAGUUACCUUGGGAACUCUUUUUCUCGGGCGACGAUCCAUAUAAGUGUGAGGAAAUUCAGAGACGCGUUCCAUCGCCAUGAUUCAGAGAACCACGAAAACUCAAUUUUGUUGUUUUUGCUAUUCUUCUUGCUCAACUUCACAUUUUUAUGUAAAUCUUCAUCCUUGAUCCUCAAAUGACUCAUCUAAUUCUUGAGGGUAGUUUGGCAGCUAUCUCCCGCUGUUGUCUCAUAUCCCUCAUCUCGGUUCAUUGGAGAGCAUAAAGGGUCGAGUGCACUAUUGUUACCGGGUGUUCGAAAGCUGAUAGAAGACCUGACCUAACCAAAGAAGAGAACGUCAAAAAUAGAAAGAUAAAAGAUAAAAAAAAUAGGAGAAGAUUGAGGAAGAGAAAGAGAAAGAGGGAGAAAGAGAAGAUUGAGGAAUAAAGAGUAACGUGGAGAAGAUUGAGGAAGAGAAAGAUAAGAUUGAGGAAAUGAGAGUAACGUGGAGAAGAUUCAGGAAGAGAGAGGAGAGUUCUGAUCAUUAAGUGAAGUGAAAUUAAAUGGGGAGUUGAAAUCUGCCAAUCAGGGAGUGACAUAUGUUCGAAACUGCACAUGCAACGUGACACGUGGCAGGGGCAACAGAAAAAAGGUGCAAAAAAAUAAAGGGGCAAAAUGACCAAAAAACCAAAAAAAGUGACAUGUGUCGCAAUUCUAGGUAGGGACACAAUAGAUUUUUCCAUAGACUUCUCUUUUAUAGAUAGUAUAUAGAUUACAAAAUCAUAAGUGAGGUUAUUAAAUAAGGAGUAAGAUUCACAACCAAAUUGAGCAAAGGUGGUGACUUCGCGAUACUGUGUCAACAACAGACUUGUGUCAUAACUUUCAAUUAAGCAGGAGAUUCGACAUGACUCACAUAUAAGCUGAUGUUAAUAGCAGGUCUACUUCUGCGAUAAAAGAGCUCUGUUUCCAAACAUAUUUGUCUUUAUAACUUAAUAGAUUUUUGUUAAUAAUAGUGUUAGAUUGAUCACUAAUUUCGGUGAAAAUAAUUUUAUAUCAAUAUUAUGAUCCAAAAAAAAAAUGUUAGAUAACAUGAUAUUAGACUUCUCAAAAUAAAAUUUCAAUUCAUGUGUACAUGUUUGGAUUAAAGUUUAUGGAUUGACUUUUUGUAAAUUGAGUUUGUAAACAUAAUCUAAGUUUAAAAAAAUAUAAUACAUUUACAUAAAUCGAGAAAGAUAAUAAAUUUUUUUAGUAAAAUUAUUUCAUUAAUUCAUUUUUCAAUUAUUUUUAUUAGUAGGCAAGAAAAGCAUUAAACAAUCGAUUAAUUUGAAAUGAAGAAAGUAAAUUAAACAUUGUGAUGAAUAUUCAGUAAACAUUUUUUUGUUUUUAAUUAUUUAUCUAAUGUCUGCCUUAUAAUUAAUAAAAUAAUUCGUGCAGACAUUCUUGAAAAUUGAGUAUAAAAUAAAAACAAAAGCGUAACAGUUUCCGAGAAGAAUAUCUGUUUGUUAACUUUGUCGAAGACGCCGUCUAUUCGUAGUUUCCUUAAUCCUUUCCUCUGUCCGUUAACGGACAACGCCAACAACGCCAAAUCCAAAACGGAACUCUCAAAAUAGAAAUUGCUCAAAGAAGAAUGUAAGAUGUCUUUACGGUUCUUUCAAUUUUUAUUUCCUUCAGAAAUUAUAAAAUUGAUAGUUUUGAUCCUCCUAUAUUUUAGGCAAAAUUGCAUUUACUUUUUCAUGAUAUCCUCUUAAAUAAUGUUAAUUUCCUUUUUUAGAUUUUUUAAAAAAUCCACUUAUCUGAGAUAGCAUUUAAAAAGAAGCAUGUAUCAUUUUAUUUAAUGCAUAAAGAAGAUAAGCAUCUGUUUAAUUACUAAAAGAAGUAUGAGUGUUAUUUAAGAUGCCUUCACAAGAGAUCGAUGUAAUUUUUUUUUCUUUUUUAAUAAUUUGUGAACUCUUUCGUUGCAUUAAUUGUUUUUUAAUAUUUACGUUGGUUUAGUUUGUUCAAUAAAAUAGAAGGAAAACACACACAAAAAAGAAGUAAGACUCAUGCUAAAGUUCCAUUCAUCCAAAACCAAUAGAAAAAAAAAAUGAAGGAAUGAUAUUUUUUUAAAACAUCAAAGAGUCUUUAUUUUUUCAUACUUUUUUCUAUUUAAAACUAUUUAUUUCAUUUUAUAUAAUUUUUUUGUUUCACUUUCUUCCCAGUAAUAUAAUACAAGAAAGAAAAAAAUAAUUCUUUUUUAUUUUUUCUCUCUCUCUACUUAAUAAAUUAUCUCGUUUCCUAUUUUUUUCCUUCCUUUCCAAUUUUUUUUUUCAUUUUCUCACCUACUUGAGACUAAUUUUGGACAAAAUUUGAAAAUAAAAAAAAAGUAGAAGAAAAAAUAGUCAAGAAAGAUGACAGACACAGUGAGGUUUGCGACACUAUUAAUUAAACAAAUACUACCACCACACAUUCCUUUCUUCUUCUUCAUCAUCUUCUCACCUCUCUCUCUCUCUCUCCCUCCCUCCUAGGGUUUCACGUUUCCAUGUGAAAACGGAUUGAGAAUCUCUCUCUCAUUCUCUCUCUAUUUUAUAUUUUCUUUCACGUCAAUUAGGUAACUCUUCUCUCUCUCUCUCUCUCUCGUGUAAUUUUGUUUUUUUGCUGUCGGUUUAGAUCGGCUUUGUCUGCUUAUGCGGAACAAGAAUCCACUUUCUCCAUUCCUAGAUUGAGAGAUUUUGUAGCCAUUUUGCUCGAAAUCAGCUCUCGUAACUGCAUUUUGGUGAUUUUUGUGAUUUUCUUUUUAUGUUAUGGAAAUUAAUUAUUCUGUGAUUUUUAGUUGUUUUAGCUGUUAUUCAUUUUUUCGGUUUUUUUUUUUAAAUUGUCUUAAUUGAUGAGUGAAAAUGUUGUGCUGAUUUUGCUCCUGUUUCCAUUUUAGGGUUUUUUUGCUGGCGUGAUUCUGAAGGCUUGGAUCUGGAUAUCUUCUUUGGUAUGACUUUGCUUUGGCUAUUUUAGUAACUAAUUAAGCUGCCUGACAAAUUAUAAAGAAAUGAGUAGUUGAGGAUUCUGUGGAGGGUUAAAUUUGAUGUCAAAUAGUGAAGUGGAUUAAGCUCAGAUUUUGUUUUGAAAUUUUAGCUGGAGCGUUUUGAUGAUUUAAUAAUGCUAGCUUGCUCUUUCCUUUGUACUAUAAUGAGUUGUCUGUGAGGGUUAAUGUGAUAAAUUUUUUUCUUUCUUUCUUUUUCACUUGUAGUAUUAAUUUUAGCUGUAGAGUAUUGCACUAUUGCUAUUUUUGUGUAAGGAGCUGGAUGUUCUGCAAUUCAAAAUUAAACUGCACAAUGAUUAAUGGUGGACAAUCUUUUAAUAAGCUUUCACGGUUUAUUUCAAAUAAAUAUGAAACCAUUGAAUGGGAACCGCACCACCAUUCAGUUAUUUUGUAACUCCAGAAGAUUGUAAUGACGUAAUCCUAUUGUUUAAAUGCUAUUGCAAAUUGGGGCAUUAUUUUACUGAAUGGUGAUUAUUUGUGUUCAUAAAAACAAUUUUCAUUUCUAAAUCUGAAAACAAAAAUCACCAUAUGAAAAUAAUAUUUUUUGUGCAUGAAUAUUAACAGUUCCUUGAUUCUUGCUUUAAACGUAAAUAAGUAGAAAUUUCUAUUCUCUAAGUACUUGAUUGUUUGCUUUUAUUUUUUAGUUUCUGAUUGGGACUGGAUAUUCUAAACUAACCUUUCGCGAAGACUAAGGAGCAAAUAGAGGUACAGAGCAUGUGUGUAAUAUGAGAAAAAAGACAAGCAAAUAUUUAUGCCAUUAGGACAUUGGCAAAUUGAGUGAUUAAGUAUGCCAUUGAGAGAUGAAAAACUUAAUCUCAUUUUUAGGAUAUUUUACUCCUACGGAAGAUAAGAACAAAUCUAUAAUAUGUAAUUAAUAAUCUGUAACAGAAAUAGUUGUAAUUGGAUUUGUUUUUUGGGAAAUUGCUGGAUUUUUAUGUGCAAUAAAAUCUGCAGUUUCAGUUUGUCAGGAAUAGCUUAAAUUCUAGGAAAUUAUUGCUUUUUCAAAAAAAAUCUCAGAAAACUGGCAAAAACAGCCGGUUAUUUCUUCAAAAGAACUAAGCACACACUUAAAUGAGAAGGGAAAUAUGGAGGAAUACACUUUACAGACACAAGUUUUGCUUCAUUGUCUGGCUGCUAGCCUUCACUGCGAAAUUUGCACAGUAGCUACUUGGUUCUGAAAUAUCUGCAAUAUAGGGAGUUAGAAGCUUGAAAACGUACACCCUAAAAUUAUACACUCGCAGAGGCAGAGCUUUGUUUUCUGAACAUUGCCAAUUGCUCAACUCCACUCCACCAACAAAAAAUUCCUCCUUUAGGUAAUUAUAUAUUAUAACAUCCCUAAGUUAUAGUAGCUUUUGCUCUCAGCCUUUAUCAUUAAAAUAUUUUCCUCAAUGGCAACCUUUUAUCUGUUUUUUGUUGUUUUUAUUUAUCUUGCAUCUGGAUAGCAUGAGUAUUGUUUUUCUCAUAUGAUGUAUGUAUGAUUAUUCUGAUAUCAAGAUAACGAGUAUUGUAAUUGCUGAUAUAUGUUUAGUUCCUACUACUGCACAUGGUUUGUCUGUAUAUAAUUUAAAACUUGGUAUUUGUUUCAUUAUUUUAUCUUCUUCAGCUUCUUUGCUAUGGAAGACUCGGAUUCAGUUGCUACACUGAUAGAUUCUACUACUUCUAAGAUACAACAGCUGCAGAAGGCAUUUGCUGAACUUGAAAGUUAUCGGGCUGUUACUCUUAACUUGAAAUGGAAAGAACUAGAGGAACAUUUCCAUGGUCUUGAGAAAUCCUUGAAGAGGCGCUUUGAUGAAUUGGAAGACCAAGAGAAAGAGUUUGAAAACAAAACGAGGAAGGCUCGUGAGAUACUGGAGAAGCGGGAAGCAGCUGUUUUUGCUAAGGAGCAAGAUUCGUUGCAGAGGCUUCAAGAGAAAAGAGAUGCUGCUUCAUUUGCCAUUGUAAAUGCUCGAGAAAAGCAGAGGAAGAUUUCAUCACGUGAAUUGGCUACUUUCUCUAAUGGUGGUAAAGGAGGGAUGCCAGGAGUGGAGGAGAAACCAGUGGAUACUUUGUCCACUGCAGCUGAAGGUAAUGUGGAAGAUGUAAAACUUCCUGAUAAUGGAAAUGUGGAGUUGGUAUCUUAUCCAGAGUUGGUAAAACUAUGCAAAGAGAUGGAUGCUGCUGGACUUCACAAAUUCAUAUCUGAUAACCGUAAGAACCUUGCUGCUGUAAGGGAUGAAAUACCAAAUGCUUUAAGAGCUGCUCCUAAUGCUGCCUGUUUAGUUUUAGAUUCUCUGGAAGGAUUUUACUGUACAGAAGUGUCAAAUCAGGACGUAAAGAAGGAUGCUAACUUAUUGGGUCUUCGCCGAACCUGUAUCAUGCUGAUGGAAUGUCUCUGUGAUUUCCUGAGCAGCUCAGGUUUUGUUUCUAAUGUGAUUUCAGAAGAUAUCAAGGACAGGGCAAAAGCAGUUGCUGAAGAAUGGAAACCCAGGCUGGAUGCUCUUGACAUGGAUGCUAGCAAUGGGAAUUCCUUGGAGGCUCAUGCAUUUUUACAACUUCUUGCUAGUUUUGGAAUUGCCUCUGGUUUUGAUGAGGAGGAGUUAUCUAGAUUGAUUCCAAUGGUGUCUCGGCGCCGCCAAACUGCUGAUUUAUGUCGUUUUCUUGGGCUGUCAGAAAAGAUGCCUGGUGUGUAUUUGAUCUUUAUAAUGUUUGACAUGAAUUAAAACAUUACAAGAACUAAAGGAAAUUUGAAAUAUUGAGCCAAAUUUGAUACAAGGAAAAAGUUUUAACAUUCUGUGCAAAAAUUUUCAUCUAAUUGCAUCAUGUGUUAUUUUUCUUUAGUUUUAUUUUUAUUUCAAUAACAAAAACAUGUUCCCUUAAUUUUCAUUUUGUGAUUAAUAUGAUUCUUUGUUAAAGUAUUGACUGUCAAGUGGCUGCCAAAACUAACCAUUUUAGUAACAGGAUUUUUCGAAGUCCUACCAACUUUGAAUAAUUAUUUUCUUAUACUUUGCUAGUCUUCUUGGAUGUUCCUGCAUGCUGGUUCUUGUUAAAUAAUUGAAAGGAAAAGCUAAAGGAAACUUGAAUUGUGAUAGUAUGCUAGGAUAUCUACUGAAAACUGAUGACUCUUAAACUUCCCUGAUAAUGUUUGAAGACAAUUGAAUGGUGUGUAUUAGUAUGCUAGGAUGCCCACUGAAAACUGCUGAUGCAAGUUAUUUAAUAUGAUAUAAAUUAUAUGGUAAGAGAGUUUUGGUUCUUAACAUAUUACAUUGCAGCUUUGAUUGACUCUUUAUUGAGAACCCUUUACUUUUGUUUCUUGGAAGUAUCCCAAAUGGCUUUUAACAUGCAAGUUUCAUACAUGAAAUCUAGCAGUUGUAUCAAUUACAGAGUGAAGCAAUAAAACUAUUGCAUCUGUUUGUUUUAAUGCUUCAUUUUUCUUUUUGGAUAUGCAGGUGUAAUUGAGGUUUUGGUGAACAGUGGGCGACAAAUUGAUGCUGUUAACUUGGCUUUUGCAUUUGAUCUUACUGAACAGUUUUGUCCUGUUUCUUUACUGAAGUCUUACUUGAAAGAUGCUAGAAAAGCUUCUUCUCCUGUUAGAAGUGCUCACUCUUCUCCCACUGCACAGGUGUGUUAUUUAUGUCUGCUAUAUUAAGUAAUUAUUCCCUCCAUUGUCUUCUUUUCACAGUUUGAGCUAGUGAUCUAAUAUUUUGCCAAGCUCUUCUAUUUUCCGUGAAAUUCUUUUUGCCUUGGGUCAUAAUUGCAUACCACUUGUGACAUUUUGCUAGAACAAGACAGUGUAUUAUGUUGUGCUUCUUAUCAUAUAAAACUUUGGAAAAGUUUCUUAGCAGAUACUGAUGGAAACACCAUCACUCUUUAAAAUGUAACCUGGACUGUAGGUAAAGCUGAUGAGCUGGAAGGCCUACAUAUUAUUCAACGUUUGUUUCGGAAAAAGUUGGAGAUGAAGGGGAUUCUCCAAUGGAUAAUAAAUGAAAAGUAUGCUUAGUUCUAUAUAGAAGAACCAUUUAUACUUAGGUUAAAAAGCAAUUUGGUGCAAGAGCCUUAUGAAAGUCUUAAUGGUGUAUAAAAAUAACUAGAUUGUAGAGCUUGCUGUCUUUGUUGUUUAGGACUUAAGGGAUAUGCUUGUUGAGAAAGAUCUCAGAUUCUUAUUCCUUGUACAGUGUACACAGCUUUGGGUUUUCUGUUCAACUUAUGGGUAGUACGUGAUUUAGUUUAUAGUAUACUAGAUGUGACAUGGCAUUUAUAGCACAAGUAUUGCUUUUAUUUAUGUCUGAGAUUCUUUUGUAUUGCAUGGUAAAUUAUUCUAGUAAUUUAUAAUAUUCUUGCUGGAUGUUUGAACUAUGUACAUUUUCAAACAUAUCUCGGGUGAAUUAAAAGGAAAAAAUUGAAAGCAAAUGCUGUUCUUAAAAGCAUCCCUUUUUCGGAAAUAAUUCCACAAAAAGAAGCUGUAUAUGUGUACUGAAAAUAUCAAAUUUUGUCUUUUCUUUUUUCUUUUUACUCCAAAUUUUGUCUUUUCUGAAAUGUAAGAAACACCAAUUGUUAAGAGGUGAUACUAAAUCUACUCCUAUAUUAUGAAUUAGAAUACACAAAUUGGAGAGUGAGACCUUACUUUCUUCACUUUGUCAAUUAGACAUUUUGAAUAUUGCCUCUCGCUCCUUUGGAGGUGUAUUUCACACACUGUCUCUGAUUAGCUAAAAGAAAUUCUUUCAAUCAUCUCAAACUAUUUUCCUUUUAUUUGAUCUUCUUAGUUCAUUCCUCCUUCAAAAUCUACCUUCAUUUAUCUCUACCUGUAAUUUGAUUUUAAUAGUUUUCUUAAAAAGAAAUUGGCUUUUGUGGUAAUAUACUGCUAUUUUCUCUCUUUUAAAUAUUCCUAGUAUCUUUUGUCUCAGAUUGAGGUGAAUGAACGAGAGCUGGUUGCACUUAAGGCUGUAAUCAAGUGCAUUGAAGAACAUAAACUUGAUGAGCAGUAUCCUCUGGAUCCUCUCCAGAAACGAUUGGUGCAGCUAGAGAAGGCCAAAGCAGACAAGAAGAGGGAAACUGAAGCAACAAAGCCUCAACCCAAGAGACCUCGUGCAAAUGGUGUGGGAUACGGUCCACGUGUCACUAACAUUCUUUCGGAUAAAACUUGCUAUGCUAGAGUUGCUGACAGGUAUCCACAAUACGUGUAUGACCGACCACCUUACAUGUACCCUGCACCCACUGAGAAUCAUUGCCCCCCUCUCAUGACCACUGCAACAUAUAACAUCUCUCCCAGCCAUGGCAACUACUUUGGAAAUGGGUAUCAGUACCAAGCCUCAUAUCUCCACUAGAGUUAGCUGAUAUGUGAA